CAAAAACAUAGCCCUAGUAAGAAUCUAAGGUGUGACCUGCCCAGUGGUUUCAGAAUAUAAAAGAAAAAAUCUUUUAAAUGAAAUUAAAAGGACGCGGUAACCUUGACCGUGAUAAUGUAGCAUAAUCACUCGCCAUUUAAUUGAUGGAUAGUAUGAAUGGUUAAACGAAUACUCCACUGUCUUAGAAAGAACUACACAAAAUUGAAAUGAUAGUUAAGAUGCUAUCUAGAAUUGUAAGACGAAAAGACCCUAUAGAGCUUAACUAUAAACUCCUCACUAAAAGUUUAAUAAACCAUUAAAAAUAUGUGGAGUUUGGUAGUUUAGUUGGGGCGACUAUUUUCUAUAAUUAACGAAAAUAAGCAAUAUUAAUAUUAAAUUUAUUGUAUAACCAAAAAGUUUAACAAUUACUAAAGUAGGCUAUAAUGACCCGUUACAUUUUAGUAAAAAAAUUAACGAUCAAUUGAUAAAAGCUACCUUAGGGAUAACAGGAUAAUUUCAUUUUAGAGUCCUAAUCGAAGAUGAAGUUUGUCACCUC
Molecule: ribosomal RNA, 535 nt
Filed under: Eutima levuka
Lineage: Eukaryota; Metazoa; Cnidaria; Hydrozoa; Leptothecata; Eirenidae
Description: partial 16S ribosomal RNA
Rfam family: Bacterial large subunit ribosomal RNA
Source: RNAcentral